RNAcentral lists this ribosomal RNA (253 nucleotides) under uncultured bacterium. RNAcentral's name for it is "partial 16S ribosomal RNA". It matches the Rfam family "Bacterial small subunit ribosomal RNA", at positions 524 to 776 of the family's 1533-position model. The record is from RNAcentral.
UACGGAGGGGGCUAGCGUUGUUCGGAAAUACUGGGCGUAAAGCGCACGUAGGCGGCUUUUCAAGUCAGGGGUGAAAUCCCGGAGCUCAACUCCGGAACUGCCCUUGAAACUGGAUCGCUAGAAUCUUGGAGAGGCGAGUGGAAUUCCGAGUGUAGAGGUGAAAUUCGUAGAUAUUCGGAAGAACACCAGUGGCGAAGGCGGCUCACUGGACUGGUAUUGACACUGAGGCACGAAGGCCAGGGGAGCGAACAGG